CGUUCCCAUACCGAACACGGAAGUUAAGCUCUUCAGCGCCGAUGGUAGUUGGGGGUUUCCCCCUGUGAGAGUAGGACGCCGCCAAGC
RNAcentral lists this ribosomal RNA (87 nucleotides) under Bacillus altitudinis. Lineage: Bacteria; Bacillati; Bacillota; Bacilli; Caryophanales; Bacillaceae. The record is from RNAcentral. RNAcentral also lists the same sequence under 7 other names.